RNAcentral lists this ribosomal RNA (563 nucleotides) under uncultured bacterium. RNAcentral describes it as "partial 16S ribosomal RNA". It matches the Rfam family "Bacterial small subunit ribosomal RNA", at positions 355 to 912 of the family's 1533-position model. The record is from RNAcentral.
UGGGGAAUUUUGGACAAUGGGCGAAAGCCUGAUCCAGCAAUGCCGCGUGUGUGAAGAAGGCCUUCGGGUUGUAAAGCACUUUUGUCCGGAAAGAAAUCCUUGGCUCUAAUACAGUCGGGGGAUGACGGUACCGGAAGAAUAAGCACCGGCUAACUACGUGCCAGCAGCCGCGGUAAUACGUAGGGUGCAAGCGUUAAUCGGAAUUACUGGGCGUAAAGCGUGCGCAGGCGGUUUGCUAAGACCGAUGUGAAAUCCCCGGGCUCAACCUGGGAACUGCAUUGGUGACUGGCAGGCUAGAGUAUGGCAGAGGGGGGUAGAAUUCCACGUGUAGCAGUGAAAUGCGUAGAGAUGUGGAGGAAUACCGAUGGCGAAGGCAGCCCCCUGGGCCAAUACUGACGCUCAUGCACGAAAGCGUGGGAAGCAAACAGGAUUAGAUACCCUGGUAGUCCACGCCCUAAACGAUGUCAACUAGUUGUGGGGAUUCAUUUCCUUAGUAACGUAGCUAACGCGUGAAGUUGACCGCCUGGGGAGUACGGUCGCAAGAUUAAAACUCAAAGGAAUUG